GGGCCUGUAGUUUAGCGGUUAGAACCCGCCGCUCAUAACGGCGUUGCACAGGUUCGAUUCCUGUCGGGCCUAC
RNAcentral lists this transfer RNA (73 nucleotides) under Holospora curviuscula. RNAcentral's name for it is "tRNA-Met". It matches the Rfam family "tRNA". Rfam says of the family: Transfer RNA (tRNA) molecules are approximately 80 nucleotides in length. The record is from RNAcentral. Lineage: Bacteria; Pseudomonadati; Pseudomonadota; Alphaproteobacteria; Holosporales; Holosporaceae.